AUAUAACUUUCAGCAACGGAUCUCUUGGCUCUCGCAUCGAUGAAGAACGUAGCGAAUUGCGAUAUGUAAUGUGAAUUGCAGAUUUUCAGUGAAUCAUCGAAUCUUUGAACGCACCUUGCGCUCCUUGGUAUUCCGAGGAGCAUGCCUGUUUGAGUGUC
Molecule: ribosomal RNA, 158 nt
Filed under: Leucogyrophana mollusca
Lineage: Eukaryota; Fungi; Basidiomycota; Agaricomycetes; Boletales
Description: 5.8S ribosomal RNA
Rfam family: 5.8S ribosomal RNA
About the family: 5.8S ribosomal RNA (5.8S rRNA) is a component of the large subunit of the eukaryotic ribosome. It is transcribed by RNA polymerase I as part of the 45S precursor that also contains 18S and 28S rRNA.
Source: RNAcentral